RNAcentral lists this microRNA precursor (63 nucleotides) under Blattella germanica (German cockroach). Its description in RNAcentral is "Bge-Mir-22-P2_pre stem-loop". The record is from RNAcentral. Lineage: Eukaryota; Metazoa; Arthropoda; Insecta; Blattodea; Blattellidae.
CGGCUCAUCACCGGGCAUCUUGCGUGACGUUUGACUCUGCAAGCUGCCUAGUGAAGGGCAACA